UGGGGAAUCUUGCGCAAUGGGCGAAAGCCUGACGCAGCGACGCCGCGUGAGUGAUGAAGGCCUUCGGGUUGUAAAGCUCUGUGGGGAGAGACGAAUAAGUGCAGGCGAAUACCCUUCAUGAUGACGGUAUCUCCUUAGCAAGCACCGGCUAACUCUGUGCCAGCAGCCGCGGUAAGACAGAGGGUGCAAACGUUGUUCGGAAUUACUGGGCGUAAAGCGAGUGUAGGCGGUUUCGUAAGUCGGAUGUGAAAGCCCAGGGCUCAACCCUGGAAGUGCAUUCGAUACUGCGAGGCUAGAGUACUGGAGAGGUUGGUGGAAUUCUCGGUGUAGAGGUGAAAUUCGUAGAUAUCGAGAGGAACACCGGUGGCGAAGGCGGCCAACUGGACAGAUACUGACGCUGAGACUCGAAAGCGUGGGGAGCAAACAGG
Molecule: ribosomal RNA, 428 nt
Filed under: uncultured bacterium
Lineage: Bacteria
Description: bacterial SSU rRNA
Rfam family: Bacterial small subunit ribosomal RNA
Source: RNAcentral